Paramisgurnus dabryanus is the source of this 3390-nucleotide RNA transcript. It is a transcript of the gene named protein kinase, AMP-activated, gamma 2 non-catalytic subunit b, with no coding region annotated. The record is from RefSeq and is a predicted model, not a curated record. NCBI's taxonomy places the organism in Eukaryota, Metazoa, Chordata, Actinopteri, Cypriniformes, Cobitidae.
UUAAACAAGAUUCAGACAAAUAUCACAUCUGAGUUACAGUUCAUUUCGACACGAGAAUUUCGCAAAUCGCUAUGCAGGAGGAGGGUGUGCAUCUGUCUCCAGACGGAUAGCCCGACGAGGAAGGUGGUCAGUGUGACCAAUAACACAAAGCUCGUCGAGUUAAAUGCGGAUGUUGGCGCAGUGACACUGAUAAGGAACCAUCGGGAUGCGCCUAUUUUCAGCCCUUCUGCAGACGUCCAACAUAUAACCAGUGAAGAAGUGCGAAUAACUUCAACGGGUAUAUAUUUCCAUAAAUUUAAAAUAUAUUUUUGUGAACAGACAGAAUGGGAAGCACGGUGAUGGACUCCAAGAAAAAGGACAUUGCAAAGAAAUCGAAGAAAAAGCGAUCUCUGAGAUUAAACAUGCCUGAUUUAAGUACAUUUGCAUCCUCUCUUAUGGAUGGAGAGACAGAGGGAUCAGGAAAAGAUGAGAUGCGAAAGGAGGAGAAAAGGGGUUCACCCAGCCCUACAAAAACCUCAUGUGUGAGAUCAUCUGCCAGCCAGCCCUGUACCCCAGCUGCAUCCUCAUAUUCCAGGAUCAGUCCAAGCUCACCCAGAACCAUCUUCCACCGUCCACCAUCUUCUCACCAGGACUCACCUCCCAAAUCUCCCCGCCGGCUCAGUUUCAGUGGGAUCUUCCGCUCCUCGUCCAGCUCGGCUCCUGCCAGCAUCAAGCUCUUUUCCAAAUCUAGAAAAGGUUCUGGGAUUUCCACUCCCCCCACCACCCCGACGCAGAGUCCGGUUCCUCCGAUCUUCCCCCUGGAGACUUCCAGUUCUCCAGAGCGCAUGGAGGAACGCCGCUCCCGCUCUAUGUCCUCUCCGCCUGACACAGGUCAGCGCUUUAGCCUGACCUCCUCCUACACCAAACCCCCUAUUGCUGCGCACACAUUUUACUCUACCUCACGCCAGAGUUACGGAUUUGCUGAAGGCAUGCUGGAAAAACUUGAACUUUAUGAUGAAGCUACUGAAGAGCCAGGCAGUGAUAUUUACAUGCGCUUUAUGAAAUCCCACAAGUGCUACGACCUCAUCCCUACCAGUUCCAAACUAGUGGUCUUUGACACUACACUAGAGGUAAAGAAAGCUUUCUUUGCCUUAGUCGCUAAUGGAGUUCGAGCUGCUCCAUUAUGGGAAACCAAAAAGCAAAGCUUUGUGGGAAUGUUAACCAUCACAGACUUUAUCAUCAUACUGCAUCGAUACUACAAAUCACCUCUGGUGCAAAUAUAUGAGCUGGAGGAGCAUAAAAUUGAGACUUGGAGAGAACUUUAUCUGCAAGAAACUUUCAAACCCUUGGUCAACAUAUCUCCAGAUGCAAGUAUAUUCGAUGCUGUUUACUCGCUGAUAAAAAAUAAGAUCCACCGUCUGCCAGUGAUCGAUCCCGUCACAGGAAAUGCACUCUACAUUCUCACACACAAAAGAAUCCUCAAGUUUCUGCAGCUCUUUGUGUGUGAGAUGCCCAAACCAGCCUUCAUGAGGCAAACUCUAGAUGAACUGGGCAUUGGCACAUACAACAACAUAGCUUUCAUUCAUCCAGAUACACCCAUCAUUAAAGCACUGGGCAUCUUUGUGGAGAGGAGAGUUUCUGCCCUGCCUGUGGUGGACGUUAAGGGAAAGGUUGUGGACAUUUACUCCAAAUUUGAUGUUAUUAACCUGGCUGCUGAAAAGACCUACAAUAACCUGGACAUCACAGUGACCCAGGCUCUACUCCACCGCUCGCAGUACUUUGAAGGAGUUAUGAAAUGCCAUCGUAAUGAGACUCUGGAGACCAUAGUGGACAGAAUAGUCAAAGCCGAGGUGCACAGGCUGGUAGUAGUGGAUGAGAACUCAAGCAUUGAGGGCAUCAUCUCCCUGUCUGAUAUCCUGCAGGCGCUGGUACUCACACCCGCAGGUAUAGACGCACAGAAUUCCUAAUCCCACCUCCCAUUUCACUUUUCCUUCUCUCCUCUCCACUCUUCCCCGGACCCCAACUCUUCUCCACCUGGACAUCUACCACCCGAGUGUCCCUCUCUGACCCCCUGGCCACAGGAGGACGCAGAAGGGACAGUGUGACGGAAUGAUGAUUUUAAAGGUACGAGACAAAUACGAAUUUCCAUUCGGAGAACCGACAGCUCCCGCAGGAAGCACCAAGAGACAUUUUUAGAUCCUCAUUUAUGGGCAGAAAAUUCGAAUGAUACCAUUUAAAUCUCCAGCAGUAGGAAUGAACGUGAUCAUACGCACACAUUAUUCGAUGUUCAUGGUGGGCCAGUCAUCUGAAUCUGCCGCUAUACUGUACACUGCUUUGAAUGCUGGGCAUGUUUGCCUAGUUAUGCUGCUGGUUUUGAUAGCCAUCACUGAUAGUGCUAAUUUAAGAACAGGGAGGAAGUCUCUUUUUGUGUUCUUGCAGGGUCUGGGUUAUAUCAUUGGCACUGGGAUCUAUUCUUGGUUAAGUGUUUGAAGUGGAAACUUUCCUUAAAUUAAGACCUUGCUGAGAGUAGAUGUAUUUGAGUGUAUUGGUUAGAUGAGCGAUACAGACUUGCAGGUUCUUGAUUCUUGUGCAAUAAGAAGCAAUUGCCAUUGUUUUUGUUUGUAAAAAGUUCGAGAACCUGGCAGUAGGUGGUGCAAGUGUAAGGACUGUAGACAUUUGGCAGUUUUUAUGAAUCCCAAAUAAAAAUAAAUUGUGAUAUUAUUUUUAGGACCAUUAGGGUUUAUUUAGUGUAAAUACCAUUUCCCCCUUUAUAUUCUGAGUAACAUAUACCGUCUGGAUAUUUUUAUUUAUUUUUUUGCAGUAAAUACUGUACUAUGUGUUUUUUUUUAUCAGACAGGACAACAAAUGUACAUAAAUUUUUGCAUUAUUGAGGUUAUGAGGGUUGGGGCAGAGUUGUAAUAAGCUAGGUUUUGUUCAAUGCAAGAUUUUUUUUGUUUUGGUUAAUAUAUGAUGUGAACAGGUUUCAUGAGGUUGCCUUUUAUCAAAUACUGUAUUAAUUGUGCCUUUUCACCCCCUAUAGAUUGUCUAUGGAAAAUGAAUGUAUGUACGCACUGUUGUAGGCUGUAUUUUUACUGGAACUAAGAAUGUCCUAUGGUAAGAGACUAUAUACUGUAUACAGAGCUUUAUUUUUCUAUUGUGACUUUCUAUAGUGUUGUUGCUUGUAUGUUACCCAUCAUAAACACUAAAGAGCAUGAAUAUCAAAGCUUGCAGUUGCCGAUUGAAAUGCGCUUCUUUGCACUUCGGUUCAUGUGCUACUAUAAACACAAGUGCUCUGAGAACACAUGCCGAUACUGUUUUAUUGGCAUGCGUUUAAAAAAAAUACAAAUCCUCAUGUUUGAUUGAAUUUUUAUUUUUCCUUAUUAAAACUUCUUCCGUGAAAGAUGAAAAGUG